Molecule: transfer RNA, 72 nt
Filed under: Alligator mississippiensis (American alligator)
Lineage: Eukaryota; Metazoa; Chordata; Crocodylia; Alligatoridae
Rfam family: tRNA
About the family: Transfer RNA (tRNA) molecules are approximately 80 nucleotides in length. Their secondary structure includes four short double-helical elements and three loops (D, anti-codon, and T loops). Further hydrogen bonds mediate the characteristic L-shaped molecular structure. tRNAs have two regions of fundamental functional importance: the anti-codon, which is responsible for specific mRNA codon recognition, and the 3' end, to which the tRNAs corresponding amino acid is attached (by aminoacyl-tRNA synthetases). tRNAs cope with the degeneracy of the genetic code in two manners: having more than one tRNA (with a specific anti-codon) for a particular amino acid; and 'wobble' base-pairing, i.e. permitting non-standard base-pairing at the 3rd anti-codon position.
Source: Rfam by way of RNAcentral
GGGGACAUAGCUCAGUGGUAGACUAUAUGCUUUGCAUGUAUGAGGUCUUGGGUUCAAACCCCGCUGUCUCCA